GUCGUUCCCAGGGCUUUCGUGUGAGGACGAGGUAGGGGCUUCGGGAAAGUUUGAAAAAUGAAGUCAAAUUUCAAAUGGAAAUAGCAUUUCUACACUUUCUGGUGGCAAAUUUAAGAAAUCGAACAGCAGAAAUAUCGACAAGAGUAUGUUUAAUAAUUUUUUGUAAUAACUUUAAAAGUUUAAUAACUAUGCUAUGCGUAAAAAUAAGCUAUACUGUUCAUUAAUUCGCCUCUGUCGCGAGCGACUCGGUAGCAAAAACGACAAAAUUUGGCAGAACACGGUAAAAAAAUGGUAUGCAGUAAUGAAGAGAGGGGACAUAGCCUUAAUGAGAAGUCUGAUUAUAUUUCCUGUCCGACCCUGACUGCACAAUUAUACCUCAAAAUUCCCUCUUACCCCUGCAGUGGCGCAGGACCCCCCUAUCAUUUUGCAAACAGAGCUUAGCUGAAUUAAUAACAAAUAUACGCAUAGAACAGUUAGAAAAAAAUUAUUAAACAUACUCUUGUCGAUAUUUUUGUUGUUCAAUUUCUUGAAUGGCAAAUUCAAAACCAGAAAGUGUAGAAAUGCUAUUUCCAAACUUCAUUUUUGAAACUUUCCCGAACCCCUACAAAACCAGCCCAGAAUUUCAGCCCUCCUAUCUUGAAACAUCUUCCUAUGCCACUGUACCCCGUCUUUCUUUCUUUAUAAUUAUUGCGUAAUUCUGUUGUUUUUUCUUGACUGGGAAAUAUUCGGAAAUUUC
Paramuricea clavata is the source of this 736-nucleotide non-coding RNA. Lineage: Eukaryota; Metazoa; Cnidaria; Anthozoa; Malacalcyonacea; Plexauridae. The record is from the annotation of a GenBank genome assembly.